AGAGUUUGAUCAUGGCUCAGGAUGAACGCUAGCUACAGGCUUAACACAUGCAAGUCGAGGGGCAGCAUGUUGGUUGCUUGCAACCAACGAUGGCGACCGGCGCACGGGUGAGUAACGCGUAUCCAACCUACCCUUGUCCAUCGGAUAACCCGUCGAAAGGCGGCCUAACACGAUAUGCGGUUCACAGCAGGCAUCUAACGUGAACGAAAUGUAAAGGAGAAGGAUGGGGAUGCGUCUGAUUAGCUUGUUGGCGGGGUAACGGCCACAAGGCUACGAUCAGUAGGGGUUCUGAGAGGAAGGUCCCCACAUUGGAACUGAGACACGGUCCAAACUCCGUACGGGGCA
Molecule: ribosomal RNA, 345 nt
Filed under: uncultured bacterium
Lineage: Bacteria
Description: bacterial SSU rRNA
Rfam family: Bacterial small subunit ribosomal RNA
Source: RNAcentral